UGAUUAUAUAGUAUACUAUAUACAGCACGGUACAGACCAAACAUUGAAUUGUUUAUCACAGUCAUUUCAACAUAUAGUAUGCAUUCAAGCAGGGACCAUACCACCAUAAAUCGUCUUUUAAUCUCCACGACUCCACGUAUUGGGGCGGUGGGGGGGGGGGGUUAGGCUGGCUAUUUAUGGGAAUGAAUAGUGAAAAGAGGUGGGGUUUUAGCAAUUGACAUGAAUAUACAAUUACCUAAAAAAAUACUACUUUAAUAGUUGGUCUGUCAUAAAGUCAUAAACUGAGUAUAAACUGAGUUUAUAGUGAUCUAAUGUAUUUUCAUGUGCCUGGGGAGGGCAUGUGGGGAGGUCUAGUCUCCAGAACUAAAAUAUUUAAAAUAUGUAUUUACCUUAUAUCGCGUCGUAAAUUCUUUAAUUAUUGGCAUGCAAGGAAGAUAUUACAAGACAGCUAGAAUUUUGAAGAUGGAAUUAAGAGUUUCAGUCGAAAAACAGAGAUACAGGAUUAUUUGAACUGGAUUGUUCACAUUAUUGAGAUCAGUGCGUUCAGUCAAUCGCGUUGCCAAAUAUGGGCUCCCAUAAGGCUUAGCGAGCACACUCCGAGCGCGUCCUUUGGAAAUUUUAUUUUAACGUCGGUUGAUAUAGCCAAGAUUUCUUAACAUAUUGAAGAAAAUAAGAAGUAAUACUCCAAUUUUCGAAGAUAAAGACAAUAAUUUUAAAUGUAAGUGUUCAACUAUGUCAAUAUUUUUAAGUUUCGUGUGUAAAUAUGUGCCAUAAAUAGUAAUAUAUUCAUGUAUAUUUUAACCGCCGUGCGUUGGCCGCAUGU
This is a non-coding RNA of Paramuricea clavata, 823 nucleotides long. The record is from the annotation of a GenBank genome assembly. NCBI's taxonomy places the organism in Eukaryota, Metazoa, Cnidaria, Anthozoa, Malacalcyonacea, Plexauridae.